UACGAAGGGGGCUAGCGUUGUUCGGAAUUACUGGGCGUAAAGCGCACGUAGGCGGACUUUCAAGUCAGGGGUGAAAUCCCGGGGCUCAACCUCGGAACUGCCUUUGGUACUGUUAGUCUUGAGCUCGGAAGAGGUGGGUGGAAUUCCUAGUGUAGAGGUGAAAUUCAUAGAUAUUAGGAAGAACACCGGUGGCGAAGGCGGCCCACUGGUCCGAUGCUGACGCUGAGGUGCGAAAGCGUGGGGAGCAAACAGG
Molecule: ribosomal RNA, 253 nt
Filed under: uncultured bacterium
Lineage: Bacteria
Description: partial 16S ribosomal RNA
Rfam family: Bacterial small subunit ribosomal RNA
Source: RNAcentral